AAAAAUGCCCUUUUCAGGGCAAAAAAAGACAUUAAAUAAAGAGUUUU
This is a non-coding RNA of Lutzomyia longipalpis, 47 nucleotides long. The record is from Rfam. Lineage: Eukaryota; Metazoa; Arthropoda; Insecta; Diptera; Psychodidae.